This is a long non-coding RNA of Ziziphus jujuba (common jujube), 620 nucleotides long. RefSeq lists it as uncharacterized. The record is from RefSeq and is a predicted model, not a curated record. Lineage: Eukaryota; Viridiplantae; Streptophyta; Magnoliopsida; Rosales; Rhamnaceae. The transcript is spliced from 2 exons.
GGCUUGCACAUGCUCAUCGAAUAUGGCUUUCUUGAAAGAACUUCCCAUCUUCAUUUCGUCGGAAAAAGAGUUUUAAAUAAACAGUUUGACUAAAUGAGCAACUCCUUCCCCUCCAAACCCCAAAAAGUAAAACAAAAAGGCAUAUAGAACUCUUUAAGGGCACGACUAACUACAGCCUAUGACAACCAAUAUGAAGAAUGUGCUAGAGCAGCAAGGACUCCUCACGACGCUGUAACAGAAGAUGUAUACAGGUAAUUAAGAAAAGUUAAAAGCAGAUAUGACAAGUGCACAUUUGCUCAACUCUUAAACCUAAGUUAAAGCAUAGUUUUCUCCAUCACUCCUUUCAGAAGUCCCCUUACAAAUCAAUCUACUUGCAGAAGCAAUUAUGAGUUACCAAUGGAGGAAAUUAAAGAUGGUUACUAAGACUACACAAACAAAUUUAAGAGUGUAAGACCCAGUUACCGAAUGUUGGAGCCACAUUUAGAAAAGAUCAUGGCAUAAUUUUGUUAUCAUCAUUGUUUAUAUCAUAUUUGAUUAGUUAAUAUCGGUUUACUUAAGGAUAAGACUGUAACUUUAAUACCCUAUAUCUAUAAAUAUAGCGACACCUGUUAUAUGUUGUA